RNAcentral lists this ribosomal RNA (254 nucleotides) under uncultured bacterium. RNAcentral's name for it is "partial 16S ribosomal RNA". It matches the Rfam family "Bacterial small subunit ribosomal RNA", at positions 1066 to 1320 of the family's 1533-position model. The record is from RNAcentral.
CGUGAGAUGUUGGGUUAAGUCCCGUAACGAGCGCAACCCUUGUCCUUAGUUGCCAGCAUUUCGGAUGGGAACUCUAAGGAGACCGCCGGUGACAAACCGGAGGAAGGUGGGGAUGACGUCAAGUCAUCAUGGCCCUUAUGGCCUGGGCUACACACGUGCUACAAUGGUUGGUACAGAGGGCUGCAAAAGCGCAAGCUGAAGCUAAUCCUAUAAAGCCAAUCGUAGUCCGGAUUGGAGUCUGCAACUCGACUCCA